RNAcentral lists this ribosomal RNA (253 nucleotides) under uncultured bacterium. RNAcentral describes it as "partial 16S ribosomal RNA". It matches the Rfam family "Bacterial small subunit ribosomal RNA", at positions 524 to 776 of the family's 1533-position model. The record is from RNAcentral.
UACGUAGGGGGCAAGCGUUGUCCGGAUUUAUUGGGCGUAAAGAGCGUGUAGGCGGCUAGGUAGGUCCGUUGUGAAAACUCGAGGCUUAACCUCGAGACGUCGAUGGAAACCAUCUAGCUAGAGUCCGGAAGAGGAGAGUGGAAUUCCUGGUGUAGCGGUGAAAUGCGCAGAUAUCAGGAAGAACACCGACGGCGAAGGCAGCUCGCUGGGACGGUACUGACGCUGAGGCGCGAAAGCGUGGGGAGCGAACAGG